AAUCAACGCUGGCGGCGUGCCUAACACAUGCAAGUCGAGCGAGAAAGUGGGAGCAAUCCCAUGAGUACAGCGGCGACCGGGUGAGUAACACGUGACUAACCUACCCUUGAGUGGGGAAUAACUCCGGGAAACCGGAGCUAAUACCGCAUAACACCGUAAGGUCAAAGGAGCAAUUCGCUUAAGGAGGGGGUCGCGGUUGAUUAGCUAGUUGGUGGGGUAAUGGCCCACCAAGGCGAUGANCAAUAGCCGGCCUGAGAGGGCGCACGGCCACACUGGAACUGAAACACGGUCCAGACUCCUACGGGAGGCAGCAGUGGGGAAUUUUGCGCAAUGGGGGAAACCCUGACGCAGCAACGCCGCGUGAAGGAUGAAGGUCUUUGGAUUGUAAACUUCUUUCGUCCGGGACGAUAAUGACGGUACCGGAAGAAGAAGCCCCGGCUAACUUCGUGCCAGCCGCCGCGGUAAG
RNAcentral lists this ribosomal RNA (466 nucleotides) under uncultured bacterium. RNAcentral describes it as "bacterial SSU rRNA". It matches the Rfam family "Bacterial small subunit ribosomal RNA", at positions 32 to 524 of the family's 1533-position model. The record is from RNAcentral.